This 504-nucleotide ribosomal RNA is filed under the name Mycoplasmopsis gallopavonis. Its description in RNAcentral is "bacterial SSU rRNA". It matches the Rfam family "Bacterial small subunit ribosomal RNA", at positions 870 to 1393 of the family's 1533-position model. The record is from RNAcentral. Lineage: Bacteria; Bacillati; Mycoplasmatota; Mycoplasmoidales; Metamycoplasmataceae.
CGCCUGAGUAGUAUGCACGCAAGUGUGAAACUUAAAGGAAUUGACGGGGAUCCGCACAAGCGGUGGAGCAUGUGGUUUAAUUUGAAGAUACGCGUAGAACCUUACCCACUCUUGACAUCUUCCGCAAAGCUAUAGAGAUAUAGUCGAGGUUAACGGAAUGACAGAUGGUGCAUGGUUGUCGUCAGCUCGUGUCGUGAGAUGUUCGGUUAAGUCCUGCAACGAGCGCAACCCUUGUCCUUAGUUAGAUGAUCUAAGGAGACUGCCCGAGUAAUUGGGAGGAAGGUGGGGACGACGUCAAAUCAUCAUGCCUCUUACGAGUGGGGCCACACACGUGCUACAAUGGACGGUACAAAGAGAAGCAAAACGGCGACGUCAAGCAAAUCUCAAAAAACCGUUCUCAGUUCGGAUUGUAGUCUGCAACUCGACUACAUGAAGUCGGAAUCGCUAGUAAUCGUAGAUCAGCUACGCUACGGUGAAUACGUUCUCGGGUCUUGUACACACCGC